GUCUUUUUAGUAUAAGGAAUAUGAGUGACUUCCAAUCACUUGACCCUGGUUGAAUCCAGGAAAAGACA
Molecule: transfer RNA, 68 nt
Filed under: Laeops kitaharae
Lineage: Eukaryota; Metazoa; Chordata; Actinopteri; Pleuronectiformes; Bothidae
Also listed under: 1 other name
Description: tRNA-Gly
Rfam family: tRNA
About the family: Transfer RNA (tRNA) molecules are approximately 80 nucleotides in length. Their secondary structure includes four short double-helical elements and three loops (D, anti-codon, and T loops). Further hydrogen bonds mediate the characteristic L-shaped molecular structure. tRNAs have two regions of fundamental functional importance: the anti-codon, which is responsible for specific mRNA codon recognition, and the 3' end, to which the tRNAs corresponding amino acid is attached (by aminoacyl-tRNA synthetases). tRNAs cope with the degeneracy of the genetic code in two manners: having more than one tRNA (with a specific anti-codon) for a particular amino acid; and 'wobble' base-pairing, i.e. permitting non-standard base-pairing at the 3rd anti-codon position.
Source: RNAcentral